AAACGACUCUCGGCAACGGAUAUCUCGGCUCUCGCAUCGAUGAAGAACGUAGCGAAAUGCGAUACUUGGUGUGAAUUGCAGAAUCCCGUGAACCAUCGAGUCUUUGAACGCAAGUUGCGCCCGAAACCAGUAGGUCGAGGGCACGUCUGCCUGGGCGUCACG
RNAcentral lists this ribosomal RNA (162 nucleotides) under Polyscias fruticosa. RNAcentral describes it as "5.8S ribosomal RNA". It matches the Rfam family "5.8S ribosomal RNA". Rfam says of the family: 5.8S ribosomal RNA (5.8S rRNA) is a component of the large subunit of the eukaryotic ribosome. It is transcribed by RNA polymerase I as part of the 45S precursor that also contains 18S and 28S rRNA. The record is from RNAcentral. Lineage: Eukaryota; Viridiplantae; Streptophyta; Magnoliopsida; Apiales; Araliaceae.